Molecule: long non-coding RNA, 6036 nt
Organism: Hemibagrus wyckioides
Lineage: Eukaryota; Metazoa; Chordata; Actinopteri; Siluriformes; Bagridae
Exons: 11
Source: RefSeq, a predicted model, not a curated record
UAAAUGUUCUUCAGUCCUCGGUAAUGUUGAGAUUCAAACACAUUACAAAGCUUGGAAGAGCCAGGAUGUUAUUAAAUAUAACUCAGAUUGUGUUCAACUGAAGCAAGGAAGUCAUACACAUCUAGGUUGGCUUGUUGAUUCUCUUCGGACUUGACUUCUGCCAAGACUUCCUUAUACAAGGAAAAGCUUGAAGCUUCUGCACAAGAUCCCCGAAAGCCCCACAUCAUCAUCUGCACUACUCAACCCUCUGACUCCACUUGCUCCAUCCUCCCUGACUGCUGAAGAUUUUGCCACUUUUUACACAGAGAAGAUUGAGGAGAUCUGCCAGACCUUCAUGUCUGCCCCAACUUCAUCUACAUUACACAGCCAGGACUUGGCUACUCCUUCACUGAAGCAUCUCUCAACCAUAGCAGCAGAAGAGGUUUUGUAGAUCAUUCACUCCUGCAAUCCCACCACCUGCCCACUGGAUCCAAUCCCUUCCACUAUGCUCCAGACCAUCUCACCUGACCUCUUGCCCUUCAUCACCACAGUCAUCAAUGGAUCCAUAACAUCAGGACAGUGGUCUGGGUCUCGGGGACCUCAAUGGUGGGUACGGCCCUGCUCCCAGGUGACAUUCACACCGGCGUUCAGAAACCGUGGACCCUGGGUGCAGCAGCAGUGGAAAACACUAGCUAGGCCCCGGAUGAGGACCUCUUCCUCUUCUCCACCACCGGCUCCGCCCCCUUUGUGAGAUGCAACGUGACGCUGUGAUCAUCGGAGAUUCCAGCAUCCGGCCCAUACGUGUGACCACAACUAAAGGUGAGGUACGCACUCUGAGUUUUCCUCGUGUUCUUGAUGUCUCUGUGCAGGUUCCCUCGAUCCUGAACAAGAACAUCUGAGCUGUUGUCCUCUGUGCUGGCAUAAACGACACCAAGCUGAAGCAGAUGGAGAUCCUGAAGAGGAACUUCAGGGGCCUGGUUAAGAUGGUAUGCUGGAUGUUGUCCUCAACAAGGAUCAUCAUGCUUUUCUGCACUGAUGGCCUGCACCCCAGCAGAGUUGGAGCGGAACUCCUGUUGGACAACAUCUCCAGGACACUACAAGCUGUCUGACUGAGAAAGAUCGCUCCUAUAUAUACAAAAGAGCACAAACCUACCAGAAGUUGAGGAAAUGAAUCAACAUGUGAAUGUAGCACUAGAUCAUGUUUUUGAACUGAUUGAAAACCUGGCUCAAAAAACCCCAGAAGUUGAACCAGAAGAGGAAGUCGAUUACAGAGGAGAGUGAAAUAACCCUACCCCAGAUCAUUUAUUUCCAAACAACCCAGAAAACGACGUUGUGAUUAUUUCUGAUGUCGAGUUUCCUCAAACGUCCACACAAGUCCCAAAGAAUCUAAGAAGGCCGGAACAUCAGGAACCCCAGUCUAUCCAAAGACCUACAGCUGUUGUAGUUCCACAGCCUAGAAUUUCACAAGUCGAGGGCACACUGAUAGUGAUGAUUCAGAUGUGACACAAGGAGAACAAGAGGAGUUCAAACAGGAAUAUAACUUGGACUGAAGAAAACAUUCAAGAGGAUUUAUUACAGAGGUAUAACGUGGGUCAAGAAGAGAACGCUCAAGAGGAGUUCGAACAACUACAGGAAUAAAACUUGGAUCAAGAAGAAAACCUUCAGUUCAACAAUGCAGUUGUGGAGUUAUUUCAAUUAAGGCAAGGUUUACUGGAAAAGUUUGAUCUAUAUAAAUCACUUGAAAACUGACCAGGAAGGAAGCACCUGCAUUUUUGAUUAUCAGUAACGGAUACAUAUAUAGAUGUAUGACUGUCCAGAGUAAUGGAGAGUGUGGGAAAGGGGUAAAGAAGCGAGUGCAGGCAGGUUGGAAUGGGUGGAGAAAGGUGUCGGGAGUUCUGUGAUAGAAAAAUUUCAGCAAGAAUCAAGGGGAAGGUGUACAAGACAGUGGUGAGACCGGCCAUGCUGUAUUGUUUAGAGACAGUAUCACUGAGACAGAGACAGGAGUGAGAGCUGGAGGUAGCAGAGCUAAAGAUGUUGAGGUUCUCUUUGGGAGUGACACGGUUGGACAGGAUUAGGAACGAGUACAUCAGAGGGACAGCUCAUGUUGGACGUUUGGGGGACAAAGUUAGAGAGGCCAGGUUAAGAUGGUUUGGACAUGUCCAGAGGAGGGAGAGUGAGUAUAUUGGUAGGAGAAUGUUGGACAUGGAGCUGCCAGGAAGUCCAAAGAGGAGGUAUAUGGAUGUAAUAAAUGAGGAUAUGAAGCUAGUGGGUGUAAGUGUUGAGGAUGCAGAAGAUGGGGAUAGGUGGAGAGAUGAUUCGCUGUGGUGAUCCCUGAAGGGAAAAGCCGAAAGAAGAUAUAGAUGUAUGACUGUGAAUGAACAAUUGAUAGUUAUUACUGGUUUCAAUAAUCAUCAGCUAUAUAAGGACAAAAGUGACAGUUUGGGUGUAAUGAAACAGAUCAUGGAGCAAUGUCCAGUGAUGUCAGUGACAAAAGGGCACAGAAACUAACAGUCACACUAUUUUAAUAAUCAAAUUUUGCAUGCAGAUGGUAGAUUUGCACAAAAUGUCGAACACUUUUUUUUUUUUUUUCCUCUUUUUCUUAUUUUUAUGCACAGUACCCAUCAGAAAUUAAAUAGGUUCUGUCUGAUACAUCUACUGCAUUGAGAAAAGGGCAAGGAUGUAGCAAAUCUAUACCCAGUGAAAUAUUUAAAGACCCAGAGUCCUUGAGGAAAGUACUUAAUUUUGAUGAAGGCUAUAGAUUUUUGAAUCCGGUCUGUGGCACUCCAGCAUUUUGGCAAAGUGUCCAAAAAUGUCAGACAGCUGGGCAUUCCUACCUGGUUUUGUUCAUUUUCAUCUGCUGAUAUUAGAUGGACAAAUUUAAUCACAAGUAUUUUAAAACAUGAAGGUAGAGAUGAAACUUUAGAAUGGGCUGAAAAAUGUGAGCUUUUACGGCAUAAUCCUGCUACUGCAGCUCGCAUGUUUGAUUCUAGGUGGCAUUGUUUUUUGAAAGAGGUGCUUGUCUCCUGUUCAGCCAAUAGGAUAAAUCAUGGACUAUUUUUAUAAGGUGGAAUUCCAACAGUGUGGUUCUCCCCAUGUCCAUUGUUCUGGAUUAAAAAUGCUCCUCAAAUAGAUAGGAAUUCUGAUGAAAAAGUUGUUCAGUUUAUAGAUAAAUGUUACGUGUGAGAUGCCCGGUGAAGAUGCAGAACUGUGCAGUAUUGUUACAUAUGUGCAGUGUUGCAACAAGCAUCAUACAAAAACAUGUAGAAAGAAAAAGAGUCGUUUUAAUUUUCCUAGGCCUCCUUCAGUGUGAACAUUCAUGUCACAGAAGAGUAGAAGGGAAUGUAAAUGUUAACACAGAAGUAGAAUAUGCCCAUGGCAUAAUGUUGGCAGAUGAGAGCUGUUUUAGAAGAGAAAUGACCUUCUCUAGAAGUUUUGUUUAAUAGAUUUGGGAUUAGGGGCGUGCGAUAUGACUAUUUGAUCGCAGACAAUUAAAAUGACUGCACGAUCCACUUUUCCAAAAAAAUCGUUGUAUCGUCCUAUAUGGUGCACGUUAUAUAUAGAAUAUGUAGUUCUACUGAUUUCGGGUACAUCCCCGUGCUAGAUGGUGCCAGGUUAAAAAGCUCGUAUGCGUUGCUCAUAAAUUCAGUGAAAUUAAGCGACGCACUCGGUGACAAUGGAGGAAAACACGGAGGAGUUGGUCCCUAAAAAAAACUCAUCAGUGAUAUGGAAAUGGUUUGGUGCAAACCAGUUAUUUGCAAAUGUUGCAAUGAUAAUAUUUGCACGUCGGAUGGCAACACAACGAACCUUUUUAACCACCUCAAAAGAAAGCAUCCGAAAGAAUAUGCCGACAGUCAAAUUAUAAAGGGACUCCACGCAAGUACAUCAGCAGGUACAACCAAGCAGCCAGAAACUACAAGGUUUAAAUAAGCAACUCUAACAAAAGAAUCAUUUGAGAAAGGAACUCCAUAUGACAGAACGAGCAAGCGCUGGAAAGAUGUAACUGACGCGGUGACAUUUUACCUGGCCGAAGACAUGAUUCCCAUAAAGACUGUGGAAAAUAAGGGCUUUAAAAGACUGCUCAGAGUCGUAGAUCCAUGUUGCCAAAUACCCAGCUGCAAAUAUUUUUCCUCCACAGCUUUAUUCCGAGUGCCGCAGCAAGAUGCAACAUGCAAUUCAAAACGUAAAGUUUUUUGCUACAACAGCUGAUUUAUGGUCUAGCCGUACGUCAGAGCCUUAUUUAAGCCUGACGAUACAGAGACAAUAUAUUUCCCAGAUGACCACACGAGAGAACUCGUAGCGCAAGGCCUUAGGGACGCGCUUGAAGGUUGGGGACUGAAAGAAGAAAACAUGACCUGCAUGACGACAGAUAGCGGGGCCAAUAUGGUGAAGGCGUUGGAGCUUAACAGCUGGACUCGUCUGCAGGGCUUUGGGCGCAGACUUCACCUAGCUAUCGAAAAAAGUGCCAAAGACCCUCGUGUUGAACGUGUAAUAUCUGUCUGCAAGAAAGUCGUCAGUACAUUCUCGUUCAGCUGGAAGAAAAAGAGGGACUUAAGUAAUGCUCAAACUGACCUAAAGCUACCUCAGCAGAAGUUCAUCACGGAGUCUCCAACACGAUGGGGUUCGAGACUCAACAUGAUCGAGAGAGUGCUUGACCAGGAAAAGGUGAUUUCUCAGGUCCUGAAGGCAGACAGGAAGACGAGGCAUUUAGUCCCAUCAUGGCAGGAUGUUGACGUGAUGGAAUCUAUGAAAAAGGCUCCGAGUCCUCAGACAUUACUGAUGCACACUCAGGUGAGGACUAUGUGAGUAUAUCUUAUGUAAAGUGUAGCCUUUUCUUCCCGGCAGGAUCCCUUCUAUUGUCACCCGACUCGACUCCGAGCUUUCUUCGGGACAAGACUUUCACUUUCUUCUGAGACUUUGCCGGCAGCUUCAAUCGAAGAACUUUGUUUGCACCACCGAAACCUUUUUCGUUCCAGCAGAAUCUCUUGCUUACUCCGAGGACUUUGAAUCUCCGAACCUCCUUGAUCCACUACAUCAGGACUCUUAUCAACGAACCAAUGCAAGUAAAAGUUACUAAUUAUUUUAGAUCCGCAAUUUUAAGCUGAAGCCCCUUUAUUAAGGCGAAUCCUAAUUACCAUGACGAUUCUCACACUGUUGUAAUCAAAACUCGAUCUGGAACAUGCCAUAUUUGAUCUCUUCCUUAAUCUCAAUCUCUCUUUGCCUACUUAUCCCCUCUCUAUAAUCCUUAUCCUGUCUCUUGUGUGUCGUAGUUAGUAUGUUUGUUUUAUUAAAUGCAUUUUAUUCACGAGUGAUUGCCUCUGUGCUUUGCUCACAAUUUCGGGGUCCCUGAACAUUGCUCUUGCUAAAUUACAGCUAGUACUUUAUAAAGUAGUUAUUCUUUCGUGGCCAGGAAGAUAACUUUCCCUGGAAUUAAUACAUAAUUAUACUGUCUGUUCGCUGGACGAACAAAUCAAAUAAUUGUUAUUGAUUCUGACAUAGUUCUAACCCCCCAUUUGAAUAUUUAUACUUAAUUAUAACCAGUUAUAAUUACACUUAAAUAUUUAAAUUUUGAGCUAAAUUCGUUACAAAAGCCAGUGCUUCACCUGUUGAAAGUCAACAUUUUGAGCCUGAAUGAUGAGGAUACUGAACUAACAAAAACGAUGAAAACUACCAUUCUUGAAUACCUCACUGACAAAUAUCAGGACCCCACCACUGAUGACCUGCUGGAUAUGGCUUCGCUUGUCGAUUCCAGGUUCAAAACACAAUACAUAGACAAAGACAAGAUUGAGGGAAUACAAACCAGAGCUGUGUCCGAGCUGGAGUCUUUGCUGACCAUACAGAAUCCAGCAUCAUCAAAUCAGCAGCCUACCUCUAGUACCUCAACCUCCACAUCACAAAACCCUGAUGAAGAUCAGACGCCACCCAAGAAAGCAAAGAGAUCACUUGCUAGCUUUUUGAAAGCUUCAGGUGUUGCAAGUGUAUCUGCAAGAAGAAUCGGGAUAAAAUCGUGAUUUUUCCAGAAAAAAUCGUGAUCUAUUUUUUUUUUUUUUUUUCCAUAUC